AGUAGGGAAUAUUGGACAAUGGAGGCAACUCUGAUCCAGCCAUCCCGCGUGAAGGAUUAAGGCCCUCUGGGUUGUAAACUUCUUUUCUCUGGGAAUAAAAACCGGUAUUCAUAUCGGCUUGAAGGUACCAGAGGAAUAAGCACCGGCUAACUCCGUGCCAGCAGCCGCGGUAAUACGGAGGGUGCAAGCGUUAUCCGGAUUCACUGGGUUUAAAGGGUGCGUAGGUGGCUUUGUAAGUCAGUGGUGAAAUCUUAGAGCUUAACUCUAAAACUGCCAUUGAUACUGCUUAGCUUGAAUCAGGUCGAGGUGGAUGGAAUAUUACAUGUAGCGGUGAAAUGCUUAGAUAUGUAAUAGAACACCGAUUGCGAAGGCAGUUCACUAGGCCUGUAUUGACACUGAGGCACGAAAGCGUGGGGAUCAAACAGGAUUAGAUACCCUGGUAGUCCACGCCCUAAACGAUGUAAACUCGACAUUAGCGAUAUACAGUUAGUGUCCAAGCGAAAGCGUUAAGUUUACCACCUGGGAAGUACGUCCGCA
Molecule: ribosomal RNA, 537 nt
Filed under: uncultured bacterium
Lineage: Bacteria
Description: bacterial SSU rRNA
Rfam family: Bacterial small subunit ribosomal RNA
Source: RNAcentral